UAGAAUAGGUGGCUUGGAACA
This 21-nucleotide microRNA is filed under the name Helianthus annuus (common sunflower). Lineage: Eukaryota; Viridiplantae; Streptophyta; Magnoliopsida; Asterales; Asteraceae. The record is from RNAcentral.